GAUGAACGCCGGCGGCGUGCCUAAUACAUGCAAGUCGAGCGAACCACUUCGGUGGUGAGCGGCGAACGGGUGAGUAACACGUAGGUGAUCUGCCCAUCAGACGGGGACAACGAUUGGAAACGAUCGCUAAUACCGGAUAGGACGAAAGUUUAAAGGUGCUUCUGGCACCGCUGAUGGAUGAGCCUGCGGCACAUUAGCUAGUUGGUAGGGUAAAGGCCUACCAAGGCGACGAUGCGUAGCCGACCUGAGAGGGUGAACGGCCACACUGGGACGGAGACACGGCCCAGACUCCUACGGGAGGCAGCAGUAGGGAAUCUUCGGCAAUGGGCGAAAGCCUGACCGAGCAACGCCGCGUGAAUGAUGAAGGCCUUCGGGUUGUAAAAUUCUGUUAUAAGGGAAGAACGACUUUAGUAGGAAAUGGCUAGAGUGUGACGGUACCUUAUGAGAAAGCCACGGCUAACUACGUGCCAGCAGCCGCGGUAA
RNAcentral lists this ribosomal RNA (483 nucleotides) under uncultured bacterium. RNAcentral's name for it is "partial 16S ribosomal RNA". It matches the Rfam family "Bacterial small subunit ribosomal RNA", at positions 28 to 523 of the family's 1533-position model. The record is from RNAcentral.